This 484-nucleotide ribosomal RNA is filed under the name uncultured bacterium. RNAcentral's name for it is "partial 16S ribosomal RNA". It matches the Rfam family "Bacterial small subunit ribosomal RNA", at positions 30 to 507 of the family's 1533-position model. The record is from RNAcentral.
AUUGAACGCUGGCGGCAGGCCUAACACAUGCAAGUCGAGCGGAUGAAGGGAGCUUGCUCCUGGAUUCAGCGGCGGACGGGUGAGUAAUGCCUAGGAAUCUGCCUGGUAGUGGGGGAUAACGUCCGGAAACGGGCGCUAAUACCGCAUACGUCCUGAGGGAGAAAGUGGGGGAUCUUCGGACCUCACGCUAUCAGAUGAGCCUAGGUCGGAUUAGCUAGUUGGUGGGGUAAAGGCCUACCAAGGCGACGAUCCGUAACUGGUCUGAGAGGAUGAUCAGUCACACUGGAACUGAGACACGGUCCAGACUCCUACGGGAGGCAGCAGUGGGAAAUAUUGGACAAUGGGCGAAAGCCUGAUCCAGCCAUGCCGCGUGUGUGAAGAAGGUCUUCGGAUUGUAAAGCACUUUAAGUUGGGAGGAAGGGCAGUAAGUUAAUACCUUGCUGUUUUGACGUUACCAACAGAAUAAGCACCGGCUAACUUUGUG